UACGUAGGUCCCGAGCGUUGUCCGGAUUUAUUGGGCGUAAAGCGAGCGCAGGUGGUUUAAUAAGUCUGGUGUAAAAGGCAGUGGCUCAACCAUUGUAUGCAUUGGAAACUGGUAGACUUGAGUGCAGGAGAGGAGAGUGGAAUUCCAUGUGUAGCGGUGAAAUGCGUAGAUAUAUGGAGGAACACCGGUGGCGAAAGCGGCUCUCUGGACUGUAACUGACACUGAGGCGCGAAAGCGUGGGGAGCAAACAGG
Molecule: ribosomal RNA, 252 nt
Filed under: uncultured microorganism
Description: partial 16S ribosomal RNA
Rfam family: Bacterial small subunit ribosomal RNA
Source: RNAcentral